AGAGUUUGAUCCUGGCUCAGGAUGAACGCUGGCGGCGUGCUUAACACAUGCAAGUCGAACGAACCUUCGGGUUAGUGGCGGACGGGUGAGUAACGCGUGAGAAUCUGCCCUCAGGAGGGGGAUAACAGUUGGAAACGACUGCUAAUACCCCAUAUGCCGAGAGGUAAAAUGAAUUUUGCCUGGGGAUGAGCUCGCGUCUGAUUAGCUUGUUGGUGGGGUAAAGGCCUACCAAGGCUUCGAUCAGUAGCUGGUCUGAGAGGACGAUCAGCCACACUGGGACUGAGACACGGCCCAGACUCCUACGGGAGGCAGCAGUGGGGAAUUUUCCGCAAUGGGCGCAAGCCUGACGGAGCAACGCCGCGUGAGGGAUGGAGGCCUUUGGGCUGUAAACCUCUUUUCUCAAGGAAGAAGAUCUGACGGUACUUGAGGAAUAAGCCACGGCUAAUUCCGUGCCAGCAGCCGCGGUAAUACGGGAGUGGCAAGCGUUAUCCGGAAUUAUUGGGCGUAAAGCGUCCGCAGGCGGCCGUUUAAGUCUGUUGUUAAAUCGUGGAGCUCAACUCCAUCACGGCAAUGGAAACUGUUCGGCUUGAGUAUGGUA
Molecule: ribosomal RNA, 598 nt
Filed under: uncultured bacterium
Lineage: Bacteria
Description: bacterial SSU rRNA
Rfam family: Bacterial small subunit ribosomal RNA
Source: RNAcentral